RNAcentral lists this long non-coding RNA (672 nucleotides) under Marmota monax (woodchuck). Lineage: Eukaryota; Metazoa; Chordata; Mammalia; Rodentia; Sciuridae. The record is from RNAcentral.
GCCCCACUGUGACACUGGUCUGCUGCCUUCCAAAGCAGCCUCUUGACUCAAGAAACACAUUUUUCUGCCUUGAUGUUCCAGAGGGAAAACUGCAUAACACCAGCCCUGGACCGAGUUCAGGCCAGAGCCGCUAAUCAUGCUGCAAGCGGCUGAGGUGGUGGCCCGGCGUCAGCCAUGUGCGCGCAUAGCCCCUUAUGAAAACCUCACUUGAUGGACAGCUCCACGGCAGCAUGGUGCCAGGGGAGGGGACAGGCCUUCUAGCUCUGCCCUCCACGAGGGCUGCACAGGUCUGGCACAAAAAAAAAAAGAUGAACUUCCAGCUGCUGUAGUGCAGUCCAGUGGAAGAGUGUCCCGAGAUUGCCCCAUGGGCCAGGGCCUCCCAGGACCCUCAACAGCCAGCGGCCCUGUGCCUGGAGCCCUGGCCUCUCCAGCCGUUCUCGGGGUCUUGACUCUGUGAGGCUUGGCUGUUGCUGGGUUCCACCAACUUGCCAUCCCUUCACAGCCCUCUUCGGCUUCCCUGCCCCGUGCCCUCCUUGGGAAGGACAGGCCUGUACUCCCUCCACCUGGGCAAAUCCCCUGCUGGCUCAUGUGCUACAGAAGGACAGGCCACGUCCCCACUCACACCUUGCUCCUGUCCCUGUCUGCCCAGCAAUAGUGCUGCAUCCACAUCAC